This 1319-nucleotide unclassified non-coding RNA is filed under the name uncultured Neocallimastigales. RNAcentral describes it as "partial contains small subunit ribosomal RNA, internal transcribed spacer 1, 5.8S ribosomal RNA, internal transcribed spacer 2, and large subunit ribosomal RNA". The stretch from base 595 to 1319 matches the Rfam family "Eukaryotic large subunit ribosomal RNA", at positions 1 to 616 of the family's 3401-position model. Lineage: Eukaryota; Fungi; Neocallimastigomycota; Neocallimastigomycetes; Neocallimastigales. The record is from RNAcentral.
UUUCCGUAGGUGAACCUGCGGAAGGAUCAUUAAUAAAUGGUCUACGUUUUUUAAGUAGACGCUUAAUAAUCUACCUUGUGAUUUGUUGUUUGAAAUAAUUUUUUUUAAAAUUUGAUUGUCUUCCUGUUGAAUGGUUGUCUUAAUGGCAAAUGAUCGCAGGGAGUGUCAGUAAUUUUUAAAAAGACUUUUUUAAAAUUAAACUUUUGUAUUCAUUUGUCUAAAAUUAUUUUAUAAUAUAAAAACAACUUUUGACAAUGGAUCUCUUGGUUCUCGCAACGAUGAAGAACGCAGCAAAAUGCGAUAAGUAGAGUGAAUUGCAGAAUACGUGAAUCAUCGAAUCUUCGAACGCAUAUUGCACUUUUCAGUUUACUAAAAAGUAUGUCUGUUUGAGUAUCAGUAAAAUAUUCUCAUAAAACUUUUUGUUUUUAUGUUAUGAGUGUUUACAACGAUACAAGUUGUUCACUUUAAAUUUUUUUAAAAUUUGAAUUUUCUAAUUUUAAAUAAAUUGGAUAAAAUUUCCCGUAAAAAGGAAUACCUAAACAAUUUAAUUUUGAUUAGAAUUCUUCAAUUAUAAGGAAAAUUUAACUAAUAACUUGAUCUCAAAUCAAUAAGAGUACCGCUGAACUUAAGCAUAUCAAUAAGCGGAGGAAAAGAAACUAACAGGAUUCCCUUAGUAACGGCGAGUGAAGCGGAAGAGCUCAAAUUUGAAAUCUUCAAGUUUACCUUGACGAAUUGUAGUUUAAAGAAGUGUUUCUGUUGAAGUUUGGUAAAGUUCUUUGGAAUAGGACAUCAUAGAGGGUGAGAAUCCCGUAUUGACCAUUAUUUCAGCUGUGUGAUACACUUUCAAAGAGUCGGAUGUUUGGAAUGCAGUCCAAAUGGGUGUAAAUUUCAUCUAAAGCUAAAUAUGGCGAGAGACGAUAGCGAACAAGUACCGUGAGGGAAAGAUGAAAGAACUUUGAAAAGAGAGUUAAACAGUACGUGAAAUUGUCAAAAGGAAGCGUUUGACACCAGUGUUGUUUCUCGAAAAUCAAUUAAAAAAGUUGAUUUGUGUUGUAUUGACCUUAACAGCUUGCUUCACUCUUUUCUUGCUUUUUUAAUGCACUUUUCGUUUAACAAGUCAACAUCAGUUUCUUUUGUUGCAAAAGGUCAUUGGAAGGUGCUUUCUCUUCGGAGAAUGUUUAUAGCUUUGAUCUCUGCAAUCGGAGAGACUGAGGUCUGCAGCGUAGAUCUUCGGGUUAGAUACAUUUGUGCUAAGCUACAGCUUUCAUAGACAACUUGUUGACUAUGUUUAGUCUUGUAACUUACCCGCUUAUGCUAUU